GAUGAACGCUGGCGGCGUGCUUAACACAUGCAAGUCGAACGGAAAGGCCCAAGCUUGCUUGGGUACUCGAGUGGCGAACGGGUGAGUAACACGUGGGUGAUCUGCCCUGCACUUCGGGAUAAGCCUGGGAAACUGGGUCUAAUACCGGAUAGGACGAUGGUUUGGAUGCCAUUGUGGAAAGUUUUUUCGGUGUGGGAUGAGCUCGCGGCCUAUCAGCUUGUUGGUGGGGUAAUGGCCUACCAAGGCGUCGACGGGUAGCCGGCCUGAGAGGGUGUACGGCCAGAUGUGGGAUGGAGUGCGGGCCCAGCCCCCGAGGGGGGGAGGGAGGGGGAAUGUGGGAAAAGGGGGGGCGAGCCGGAUGCGGCGGGGCCGGGGGGGGGUGGACGUCUGUGGGUUUGAAACCCCUUUGGGCAAGGGGGGAAGUUUUUUGGGGAGGUUCCGUGGAGAAGAACCACGGCCAAACAACGGC
RNAcentral lists this ribosomal RNA (469 nucleotides) under uncultured bacterium. RNAcentral describes it as "partial 16S ribosomal RNA". It matches the Rfam family "Bacterial small subunit ribosomal RNA", at positions 28 to 508 of the family's 1533-position model. The record is from RNAcentral.